UUCAGGCCAUCUAUGUCAUUUAGCUCCAGCACUAUCAGACUUGGGAAUGCCUCCGGAUGGAAGGUGAAACGGAGGUCGUCAACCUGGAACGACUUCGCCCCCAGACGUAAGCUGACCAGGUUUGGAAGCUUCCCAAGAACUUGGAGUGCAGGUUCGUGUUCCAGUAUUCUAGAGCUCCUUAGAACCAACUUCACAAGAUUCUUGAGCCCCUCGACCCAUCCUGGCAAUUUGAGCAGAUUGCCGUAUAUCUUGAGGCUUGCAGGUUUUUCGGAGCGGAGGUCAAGCCAUCCAAACAGCCAUGCAAACCUGGCAUCCCACGUGCCUGCACUAGCAAAGAUUCCAGGUAGCUGAGAUUGGCAACGACUGAACACAAUUCCUGGCCGUUUUCCUGGUUGAUGCCAGCCACAGCUAACUUGCGCAACUGGGUCAGUCGUUUUAUGUCCCGUAGAAUUGCUUUGUCCCAUGCGAGAUUCACAAGACCCAAUGUGCGCAGGGAUUUUAGUUUCCCUAUCCCUCUUGGCAUCCAAGUUGGACCUUCUUUCGCCAUCAGAAGAGGGAGCAUGACGCAGCAACACUGAGUGCAUACAUCACACCUAUUCAUGUCACCAUCCACAUCCAUAACCUCUUUAAGAAGUUGAGGUGCGCAACAUGCCAUGCAAAAUCCUAGCAACCAACCCAUACAAAUGCAUGGCCCCAGCACUACUUUUGGCAGUUCUUCAAAUGCAUUUAAUGAAUCAUCAUCCUUUCCAACAGCCCCAACACAAAGAUAUUGUAGCUUCUUGAGCUUGGUGAUGGUCUUGGGCAGCUUAAAAAUCGAUGUUUUUGAAAUAUCUAGUGUUUCUAGUUGCUUCAGAUUACCCAACGAAUCUGAUACGUGAAAAAUAUAAUCACAUCCUCUUAGAGAAAGGUAUCUGAGGUGAAGAAGCUUCCCAAUAUACUCUACGUGAUGAUUAACCAGACCUGAUGUGCCUUCCAAGUCCAGCACACGCAAGAACCUCAUCUUGUCAGAAAUGAAAAAGGACCUCCACUUCCCAAACACUGUUAACGAGCGUAUGCGGGACAGAUCCACUUUGUUCUCAAACUCACUCUUAUCUGCUUCCCAGUUGGUGCUUAUGACAAGGUGACGAACUGUGCCCUGGGUGUUUGAGCUGCAACCUUCCUCCAUUCUAAAAACAAGAUUUUCUUCUAUAGACUUUGAGAUGCUAAUCUCACGCAUGAGAUCAUGGACUUGGCAAGAGUCAAUUCCUUUUCUACUAUUAACUGAUAGCUGAGAAGGUAGGAUCAUGCUCCUCUCUAUUAGUUCCAUGAAGUAGUUGUCAGCUACUUCUUCUGGGGACUUAUCUCGAAUCUCCCGUGAGUAACCUUCUGCACUCCACCGUCGUAUCAAACAUCUUCGACUAAUCUUGUGAUCUUCAGGGAAGACGGAUGUAUACAGGAAACAAGACUUAAGAUGAUAUGGUAGACCAUCGUAACUUUUACCGAGAAUUGUUUUUAUGGCCCCAACCUCUGGGUUCAUUUCCAAUUCAGCACUAAUAUGCUCAUUCAAUUUCCUCCACUCUACCGCUACUUUUGGUUGCUUUGCCAAGAAGCCUCUGAUGGUGACUAUUGCAAGGGGAAGUCCAUUGCACUUCUUCAAGAUCAUGUUUGCUUCUUUGAUCAAUUCAGGAUGCUUGUCCAAAUCUUUGUCCUCCUUAAAUACCUGAAAUCAGUAGUGCUUAUUAUGUUCUUUGAGAUUGAAAAUACGUACGAAUGGUCUAUGUAGUUUACUUAUUUAUUAGAAUGACUAUGGCACAAUUAUUAGUCUCAUGCCUAUUGAAGAAUAGAACUAUUAGUUAUGAUGUCCUUAUAUCGUAAUGAAAGAUAACACAAAUGGCAGCAGGAUUAUAUUGCAAUAUAGUAUACCUUUCUUGUGAAGAGGUCUUGUGCAUCCUUGCAUUCAAGAACUUUGAGCUUGUAUAUGUUUUUUUGUUUCUCUGAACAAUGUUUUGCUAUACUCUCUUCCCUUGUGGUCACUAUAAUCCGGCAUGAACUAUCUAAUUUAGGGAAGCUUCCAAAUAUAUUAUCCCAUUCUGCUAUUGAUGAAAGAUCAUCAAGAACAAUCAAGCACUUCCUCCCUUCAAGAAGCCUAGCUAACUCUUUUAUUAAUGCUUCAACUCCCAUCAUUAUUGGGGCUGUGUUUCUUGCACCAUGUGCAAAAUCUAUUGCUCCUUUCUUUUCAGAAGAUUGUACAUUUAGUUGCAUAAUUAAGCUCUUCAGGAACUCCUUAAGAAUGAAAGGGCGCAUCACUGUAACACAAGCAUGCUUCUCAAACACACCAACAUGCUUCUGACUUUCAUAAACAUCUUUGAUCAGAGUAGUUUUCCCAAGACCACCCAUUCCCUAUACUGAGAUCACUGCAAGCUCAUGAUUAGAUGGAUUUGAAAUGAGGUUGAUGAUAUCAGUUUUUUCUUUCUGCCGACCGAUAAGUUGUGAUUCCUCCAAAGCACUUGCCAUAGUUUUGAUGCGAGCAAGGCUUUUUGCAAAUACCUUUAUCUCAUUGCCACCUUGAGAUUGAUGUCCCAGUGUUACAUUAGUACUUAUUGAUUCAUCUGAGCUAGACACUACCAGUGGUAUUUUUAUUUGAUCUUGACAAUCCUAUGCAGAGGUAAACUUUAGUUAUCAGAAUUUUAAAUUUGUCGAUGUUUAAACAAUAUUUUGACUCAAAAAGGUAAAUUCUAGCAUAAAUGCAUAUAAAUUUAUGAUGGGCACAGAUAGAUUGCUUGGGUAAUUAAAAGAAACAAGAUAGAUUGAUUUGGCAAGAAUGGAAUUAUAACAUAUAGGGGAGGCUAGUAUCUAGCCCAAUUACAAAUGAGGUGUUUAGAUAGAACUAUAAUGUGCAAGAUUGUUAUUGGCCAAUAUAUAGAUUUUCUUUAACACUAAUAUUACUAACAAUAGAUUCUAUUUGGAUGAUCGAUGUUAAUUCUCACUAGACAUGCUAGAAAAAUAGAUAGAUCUUAGAAAAUCUCACAAAGAGCGAAACAUUCUACCAUCAAUUUUGUAGACUCAAUCGUUGUUGAUAACAAUAAGCAUAGGAUGUAAUUUACUUUAAAAAUGACCUACCUCUACCAUUACAAAGAUAAUAUCCAAAAUCUACACCUAAAAUCCCCACAUAUGCCAUUAUGAAUAAGAAUUUAAUCAUCCCCUAAAUCUCCAUACAAGUGACCAAUCACUGCUACUAUGAAAAUAAAGCAUAAGUAACCUCGCAAUUUGUAUCUAAAUUACCAAUACCCUCUGCCAUUAUGAAUAAGAAUUUAAAUAAGAUAAUAAAUUUGUGCCUAGAUUAUCCAUCAUUUCCAUUAUUAAAAAUAACUUAAAGUAAUGCUUAAAUCUACAUCUGAAUUGCACAUUUCUAUGAUUAUAAAGUAUAAUAACCCAAAGCAUGCCCUAUAAAUGCUUCUAAAAUGAUCAUUUGUAUCAUCAUUAAUAUGUGAAAAAACUAAAGUAUACACAUCCAUGAUGUUUACCACCAUAGAAACCAAGUAGCAAGCAUGUAGGGAUCAAUAGAUAACAUUUUGACUGACAACAUUAUAACAUCUACAAUGAUAGUUACAUUAUGACCACUCUAAUUAUUUUCUCCCUCAAGCUAUUCUUUUGAUCUAUUUUUGUAACAUAAGUUAUAAUGUCAUGUGUCGUCCCAAUUAAUAUGAACUUAAAACUCAACCGGUACAUGGAGAAACAAAAAAAAAAUCUCAUUAGGGGUAGCAUAGACCAAUUGAAAUAGUUUGGGGAGUACAUCUAGUUAUUCAAGGAACUAAGCGGACAUAGUGGAUUGCUUAGGGUAGUAAAAUAGACAUCUUCAUUUAGUAAAGUUUUUCUAUAAGAAAUGUUUACACCUCUAGACAUGCUGGUUGACAAUCUUGUUUAUUCCUUCCACUUCUAACAGUUAUGCUUCUUAUGCUACCAUGUAUAGGAGCAUGUACUUGUUGAUGGACUCGUCCUUAUGGACGAAAAUUGAUACAUUUUUUCCCGUGCCUAUAAAUAUGGUAAAAGAAUACUGGAUACAACAACCUGAAUCCUUGUAACUAUCUGAGAUAAAGAAAAAUAACAAGAGGUGACACUAAUUCGAUAAUUUCUGAAGGAUGAAUAGUACCUUCUCGUAGAAAGCAUAAAUAGUCUGAUGAGCGGAGAACUGCUAAAGCUCCAACGCUUGGCAUUCUUGCCCUGCACACAAGCUUGCAACUUCAAUUUGUAGGCUGCAAACUAUGAUUCGACUCCCUUUCUUGUGGUUCGGCGGCAGACAUGCUUUAACCCCAUUCCACUCUUCGAAGGUGGACAAGUUAUUAAGCACAAUCAGGAAACUAUUCUCGCUUAGGUAUCCAGAGAACUCCUCUGCCAAUUCUUUUCCUGUCUUCUUGGUCUCCAACAGAACAUCGACCCCCACGGCUGAUCGGAACUGCUUCACUAAGCUUUGGCUGAAGUCAUUCGGAUUGAAGGGAUGCGAGAUCCUUACCCAUGCCCGGCACGAAAACUUCUUUUUGAUAUGUGGAUUCUCGUAGGCAACGUUGAUGAUGGAUGUCUGCCCAAGAUCACCACUGGUUCCCCACACUGCGAUCACUCUAAGAUCCUCGCCCGGUGAUUCAGCACUUCGAGCAAGAUCAUCGAGGAGAGGCGGUGUUGAUUGAGCCCGGAGAUGGUGGAGAUGC
Molecule: long non-coding RNA, 4682 nt
Filed under: Setaria italica (foxtail millet)
Lineage: Eukaryota; Viridiplantae; Streptophyta; Magnoliopsida; Poales; Poaceae
Description: long non-coding RNA (SITA_LNC004839)
Source: RNAcentral